RNAcentral lists this ribosomal RNA (254 nucleotides) under uncultured bacterium. Its description in RNAcentral is "partial 16S ribosomal RNA". It matches the Rfam family "Bacterial small subunit ribosomal RNA", at positions 79 to 334 of the family's 1533-position model. The record is from RNAcentral.
CUUUCUUUGCUGGCGACCGGCGCACGGGUGAGUAACACGUAUCCAACCUGCCCUUUACUCGGGGAUAGCCUUUCGAAAGAAAGAUUAAUACCCGAUGGUAUAAUGAUUCCGCAUGGUUUCAUUAUUAAAGGAUUCCGGUAAAGGAUGGGGAUGCGUUCCAUUAGGUUGUUGGUGAGGUAACGGCCCACCAAGCCUUCGAUGGAUAGGGGUUCUGAGAGGAAGGUCCCCCACAUUGGAACUGAGACACGGUCCAA